CCUACGGGUGGCUGCAGUAAGGAAUAUUGGUCAAUGGACGGAAGUCUGAACCAGCCAUCCCGCGUGCAGGAUGACUGCCCUAUGGGUUGUAAACUGCUUUUAGUAGGGAAGAAUAGAUGUCAUUUAUGAUGUUGUGACGGUACCUACAGAAUAAGCACCGGCUAACUCCGUGCCAGCAGCCGCGGUAAUACGGAGGGUGCGAGCGUUAUCCGGAUUUACUGGGUUUAAAGGGUGCGUAGGCGGGAUAUUAAGUCAGUGGUGAAAUCUUGUCGCUU
This 275-nucleotide ribosomal RNA is filed under the name uncultured bacterium. RNAcentral's name for it is "partial 16S ribosomal RNA". It matches the Rfam family "Bacterial small subunit ribosomal RNA", at positions 338 to 610 of the family's 1533-position model. The record is from RNAcentral.